This 2918-nucleotide ribosomal RNA is filed under the name Vibrio parahaemolyticus. Its description in RNAcentral is "23S ribosomal RNA". It matches the Rfam family "Bacterial large subunit ribosomal RNA". The record is from RNAcentral. Lineage: Bacteria; Pseudomonadati; Pseudomonadota; Gammaproteobacteria; Vibrionales; Vibrionaceae.
GUUGUAUGGUUAAGUGACUAAGCGUACACGGUGGAUGCCUUGGCAGUCAGAGGCGAUGAAAGACGUAGUAACUUGCGAUAAGCCCAGAUUAGGUAGUAACAACCAUUUGAGUCUGGGAUUUCUGAAUGGGGAAACCCACGUGCAUAAGCACGUAUCCUUACCUGAAUACAUAGGGUAAGGAGGCGAACCGGGGGAACUGAAACAUCUAAGUACCCCGAGGAAAAGAAAUCAACCGAGAUUCCGAAAGUAGCGGCGAGCGAAAUUGGACUAGCCCUUAAGCUUUACACGCGUUAGACGAACGGUCUGGAAAGUCCGACGAUACAGGGUGAUAGUCCCGUAGUUGACGACGUGUGUUCAGUGAAAUCGAGUAGGGCGGGACACGUGAUAUCCUGUCUGAAUAUGGGGGGACCAUCCUCCAAGGCUAAAUACUACUGACUGACCGAUAGUGAACCAGUACCGUGAGGGAAAGGCGAAAAGAACCCCUGUGAGGGGAGUGAAAUAGAACCUGAAACCGUGUACGUACAAGCAGUAGGAGCAGGCUUUGUCCUGUGACUGCGUACCUUUUGUAUAAUGGGUCAGCGACUUAUAUUCAGUGGCAAGGUUAACCAUCUAGGGGAGCCGUAGGGAAACCGAGUCUUAACUGGGCGUUCAGUCUCUGGAUAUAGACCCGAAACCAGGUGAUCUAGCCAUGGGCAGGUUGAAGGUUGAGUAACAUCAACUGGAGGACCGAACCGACUAAUGUUGAAAAAUUAGCGGAUGACUUGUGGCUAGGGGUGAAAGGCCAAUCAAACCUGGAGAUAGCUGGUUCUCCCCGAAAGCUAUUUAGGUAGCGCCUCGGACGAAUACUACUGGGGGUAGAGCACUGUUAAGGCUAGGGGGUCAUCCCGACUUACCAACCCUUUGCAAACUCCGAAUACCAGUAAGUACUAUCCGGGAGACACACGGCGGGUGCUAACGUCCGUCGUGGAGAGGGAAACAACCCAGACCGCCAGCUAAGGUCCCAAAUUACUACUAAGUGGGAAACGAUGUGGGAAGGCUCAGACAGCCAGGAUGUUGGCUUAGAAGCAGCCAUCAUUUAAAGAAAGCGUAAUAGCUCACUGGUCGAGUCGGCCUGCGCGGAAGAUGUAACGGGGCUAAGUAGUAAACCGAAGCUGCGGCAAUAUACUUUUGUAUAUUGGGUAGGGGAGCGUUCUGUAAGCGGUUGAAGGUGUGUGGUAACGCAUGCUGGACGUAUCAGAAGUGCGAAUGCUGACAUGAGUAACGAUAAAGGGGGUGAAAAACCUCCUCGCCGGAAGACCAAGGGUUCCUGUCCAACGUUAAUCGGGGCAGGGUAAGUCGACCCCUAAGGCGAGGCCGAAAGGCGUAGUCGAUGGGAAACGGGUUAAUAUUCCCGUACUUCUUACAAUUGCGAUGGGGGGACGGAGAAGGCUAGGUGGGCCUGGCGACGGUUGUCCAGGUUCAAGUGCGUAGGCUUAAGAGUUAGGUAAAUCCGGCUCUUUCUAAGGCUGAGACACGACGUCGAGCACCUACGGGUGUGAAGUCAUUGAUGCCAUGCUUCCAGGAAAAGCCUCUAAGCUUCAGAUUGUAAGGAAUCGUACCCCAAACCGACACAGGUGGUCGGGUAGAGAAUACCAAGGCGCUUGAGAGAACUCGGGUGAAGGAACUAGGCAAAAUGGUACCGUAACUUCGGGAGAAGGUACGCUCUUGAUGGUGAAGUCCCUUGCGGAUGGAGCUGACGAGAGUCGCAGAUACCAGGUGGCUGCAACUGUUUAUUAAAAACACAGCACUGUGCAAAAUCGUAAGAUGACGUAUACGGUGUGACGCCUGCCCGGUGCCGGAAGGUUAAUUGAUGGGGUUAGACUUCGGUCGAAGCUCUUGAUCGAAGCCCCGGUAAACGGCGGCCGUAACUAUAACGGUCCUAAGGUAGCGAAAUUCCUUGUCGGGUAAGUUCCGACCUGCACGAAUGGCGUAAUGAUGGCCACGCUGUCUCCACCCGAGACUCAGUGAAAUUGAAAUCGCUGUGAAGAUGCAGUGUACCCGCGGCUAGACGGAAAGACCCCGUGAACCUUUACUACAGCUUGGCACUGAACAUUGACCCUACAUGUGUAGGAUAGGUGGGAGGCUUUGAAGCACGUACGCCAGUAUGUGUGGAGCCGUCCUUGAAAUACCACCCUUGUAGUGUUGAUGUUCUAACGUCGACCCCUUAUCGGGGUUGCGGACAGUGCCUGGUGGGUAGUUUGACUGGGGCGGUCUCCUCCCAAAGAGUAACGGAGGAGCACGAAGGUGGGCUAAUCACGGUUGGACAUCGUGAGGUUAGUGCAAUGGCAUAAGCCCGCUUGACUGCGAGAAUGACAAUUCGAGCAGGUGCGAAAGCAGGUCAUAGUGAUCCGGUGGUUCUGAAUGGAAGGGCCAUCGCUCAACGGAUAAAAGGUACUCCGGGGAUAACAGGCUGAUACCGCCCAAGAGUUCAUAUCGACGGCGGUGUUUGGCACCUCGAUGUCGGCUCAUCACAUCCUGGGGCUGAAGUCGGUCCCAAGGGUAUGGCUGUUCGCCAUUUAAAGUGGUACGCGAGCUGGGUUUAGAACGUCGUGAGACAGUUCGGUCCCUAUUCUGCCGUGGGCGUUGGAAGAUUGAAGGGGGGCUGCUCCUAGUACGAGAGGACCGGAGUGGACGAACCUCUGGUGUUCGGGUUGUGUCGCCAGACGCAUUGCCCGGUAGCUAAGUUCGGAAUCGAUAACCGCUGAAAGCAUCUAAGCGGGAAGCGAGCCCUGAGAUGAGUCUUCCCUGAUACUUUAAGUAUCCUAAAGGGUUGUCGGAGACUACGACGUUGAUAGGUCAGGUGUGUAAGUGCUGUGAGGCAUUGAGCUAACUGAUACUAAUUGCCCGUGAGGCUUAACCAUACAACACCCAAGGGGUUU